AGUGAACGCUGGCGGUAGGCCUAACACAUGCAAGUCGAACGGCAGCACAGUAAGAGCUUGCUCUUACGGGUGGCGAGUGGCGGACGGGUGAGGAAUACAUCGGAAUCUACUUUUUCGUGGGGGAUAACGUAGGGAAACUUACGCUAAUACCGCAUACGACCUACGGGUGAAAGCAGGGGACCUUCGGACCUUGCGCGAUUGAAUGAGCCGAUGUCGGAUUAGCUAGUUGGCGGGGUAAAGGCCCACCAAGGCGACGAUCCGUAGCUGGUCUGAGAGGAUGAUCAGCCACACUGGAACUGAGACACGGUCCAGACUCCUACGGGAGGCAGCAGUGGGGAAUAUUGGACAAUGGGCGCAAGCCUGAUCCAGCAAUACCGCGUGGGUGAAGAAGGCCUUCGGGUUGUAAAGCCCUUUUGUUAGGAAAGAAAAGCAGUAGGUUAAUACCCCGCUGUUCUGACGGUACCCAAAGAAUAAGCACCGGCUAACUUCGUG
RNAcentral lists this ribosomal RNA (492 nucleotides) under uncultured bacterium. RNAcentral's name for it is "partial 16S ribosomal RNA". It matches the Rfam family "Bacterial small subunit ribosomal RNA", at positions 29 to 507 of the family's 1533-position model. The record is from RNAcentral.